GACGGAGGAUGCAAGCGUUAUCCGGAAUGAUUGGGCGUAAAGCGUCCGCAGGUGGCAGUUCAAGUCUGCUGUCAAAGACCGGGGCUCAACCUCGGAAAGGCAGUGGAAACUGAACAGCUAGAGUAUGGUAGGGGCAAAGGGAAUUCCUGGUGUAGCGGUGAAAUGCGUAGAUAUCAGGAGGAACACCUGCGGUGUAGACGGCUUACUGGACGGUAACUGACGCUGAGGCACGAAAGCGUGGGUAGCAAACAGG
RNAcentral lists this ribosomal RNA (253 nucleotides) under uncultured bacterium. RNAcentral describes it as "partial 16S ribosomal RNA". It matches the Rfam family "Bacterial small subunit ribosomal RNA", at positions 524 to 776 of the family's 1533-position model. The record is from RNAcentral.